Long non-coding RNA from Bufo bufo (common toad), 132 nucleotides. RefSeq lists it as uncharacterized. The transcript is spliced from 3 exons. Lineage: Eukaryota; Metazoa; Chordata; Amphibia; Anura; Bufonidae. The record is from RefSeq and is a predicted model, not a curated record.
AUCACUCACUCCAGAUCAUACCCCCAAUUAGGAAUUGUUGUGGAAUACCAUUCAGAAAAUGCAUUCUUCAGGAAGAAUAAGGUUUAUUGCGGCUAGCCUGGAGCAUUAACAGCUUCAAUCGCACAAAGGAAA